GGGCUCACACAAGCGGUGGAGCAUGUGGCUCAAUUCGAAGCAACGCGAAGAACCUUAUCCUGGGUUUGACAUGCAUGGAUUAGUGCGUGGAAACACGCAUGACACUCUCGUAGUGGAACAUGCACAGGUGCUGCAUGGCUGUCGUCAGCUCGUGCUGUGAAGUGUCGCGUUAAGUCGCUUAACGAGCGAAACCCCUAUCACUAGUUGCCAACGGGUCAUGCCGGGGACUCUAGUGAGACUGCCGGUGUUAAACCGGAGGAAGGUGGGGAUGACGUCAAGUCCUCAUGGCCUUUAUGCCCAGGGCUGCACACGUGCUACAAUGGUGCGAACAGAACGAUGCAAGACCGCAAGGUGGAGCAAAUCGCUUAAAUCGCACCCCAGUUCGGAUUGAGGGCUGCAACCCGCCCUCAUGAAGUCGGAAUCGCUAGUAAUCGCGGAUCAGCUACGCCGCGGUGAAUAUGUUCCUGAGCCUU
RNAcentral lists this ribosomal RNA (473 nucleotides) under uncultured bacterium. RNAcentral's name for it is "bacterial SSU rRNA". It matches the Rfam family "Bacterial small subunit ribosomal RNA", at positions 917 to 1382 of the family's 1533-position model. The record is from RNAcentral.